UUCCCUUUGUUUUCUUAACCAUUGUACCUGAGAAAUACAAAACUUGGAAAGGGAUAAGUCGAUUGACUUUGCAAAUGUAAACUUCAAGAAGGAACGUUAAAAAAAAACACAAUUCUCAAUCUUUUCAUCAUGUGAAAAUUACAAGACAAGUAAAAUUCAAUAAUCAAAGUUAUUCUAGAAUGAGAGGGUUCUCUAAUCAAACCUUUCAACACCUUAACAUACUAACUCACCCACUAACACACUCAAAUAGGAUCAAUUUCGAAAAGCCCCAAAUCCAUGAACCCUAAUUUUGCCAAAGUUCAAAUUAAGCUCAGUUCCACCUUCAAUUCAACAACCCAACUUGAUAUAUAAGCUUUCCCUAUUCUAUUUCACCACAAUCAAGCAAGAAAAUGACCAAAUUUCGAUUUUCAAAUUCUAGGGUUCAUUGACCUACGAAUUUGAAUUUAAAAACACAAUACCUUGCUUUGGAUGGAAGGAAAUGAGGAAUGGGUGGUGAGGAAUAGACUGUUGGGGCGAAAGCUUAGAUUUAGAAACAAGAACUAAGAGAUUUGGGUGAGAAUUAAAAAAGUUAGGAGAUUUUUGGUGUGGGUUUGUUUGAGAGAGUAUGAGUGUUUGUGAGAGGAAAGGAGAGUGAAAGAGAUGAAGGUCGUGGGUAUGGGUAGUUCUAGGGUCGUCCGGUUAGGUUUAGGGCUGGUUAAAUUGAAUUAAACCGGACAAAAUCGAAGAGGGACU
RNAcentral lists this long non-coding RNA (732 nucleotides) under Brassica napus (rape). Its description in RNAcentral is "long non-coding RNA (BNAP_LNC014864)". Lineage: Eukaryota; Viridiplantae; Streptophyta; Magnoliopsida; Brassicales; Brassicaceae. The record is from RNAcentral.